RNAcentral lists this unclassified non-coding RNA (236 nucleotides) under plant metagenome. RNAcentral's name for it is "partial contains 5.8S ribosomal RNA, internal transcribed spacer 2, and large subunit ribosomal RNA". The record is from RNAcentral.
GCCACGGGGGAAGGUGGCGGACAGCGCAUUGUGCCACGCGGUGCCGAAGGGUUCUCCGGCCCACCAGCGAUCCGGCUGCGUACCGCGGUUGAACCGCUCGUCGCGCACGAUGAUCUCCAGCUCCGGCGGAGUCGGCCCGGUGCGGGACGGAAUAUCUAUACGGGUGGGGGCAUUCAUCUCGAUGGGCUCCGGCUUUGUCCGAUGCUGAGAGCCUGAAAUAGUGGUUACUUACAUCA